RNAcentral lists this long non-coding RNA (397 nucleotides) under Nicotiana tabacum (common tobacco). RNAcentral's name for it is "long non-coding RNA (NTAB_LNC004916)". The record is from RNAcentral. Lineage: Eukaryota; Viridiplantae; Streptophyta; Magnoliopsida; Solanales; Solanaceae.
AAUUUUCAGUCUUAGUUUAAAUAGGCGCCCACCUGUAUAACGAGAGGAAUACUUUUCAUGUCUUAGUUUAAAUAGGCGCCCACCUGUAUAAUGAGAGGAAUAAUUUUCAGUCUUAGUUUAAAUAGGCGCCCACCUAUAUAACGAGAGGAAUAAUUUUCAGUCUUAGUUUAAAUAGGCGCCCACCUGUAUAACGAGAGGAAUAAUUUUUAGUCUUAGUUUAAAUAGGCGCCCACCUGUAUAACGAGAGGAAUAUUUUUCAGUCUUAGUUUAAAUAGGCGCCCACCUGUAUAACGAGAGGAAUAUUUUCAUGUCUUAGUUUAAAUAGGCGCCCACCUGUAUAACGAGAAGAAUAUUUUCAUGUCUUAGUUUAAAUAGGCGCCCACCUAUAUAAUGAGAG